RNAcentral lists this ribosomal RNA (496 nucleotides) under uncultured bacterium. Its description in RNAcentral is "partial 16S ribosomal RNA". It matches the Rfam family "Bacterial small subunit ribosomal RNA", at positions 29 to 507 of the family's 1533-position model. The record is from RNAcentral.
AUGCACGCUGGCGGCGUGCCUAAUACAUGCAGGUCGAGCGCACAGACGAGGAGCUUGCUCCUCUGACGUUAGCGGCGGACGGGUGAGUAACACGUGGAUAACCUACCUAUAAGACUGGGAUAACUUCGGGAAACCGGAGCUAAUACCGGAUAAUAUAUUGAACCGCAUGGUUCAAUAGUGAAAGACGGUUUUGCUGUCACUUAUAGAUGGAUCCGCGCCGCAUUAGCUAGUUGGUAAGGUAACGGCUUACCAAGGCAACGAUGCGUAGCCGACCUGAGAGGGUGAUCGGCCACACUGGAACUGAGACACGGUCCAGACUCCUACGGGAGGCAGCAGUAGGGAAUCUUCCGCAAUGGGCGAAAGCUUGACGGAGCAACGCCGCGUGAGUGAUGAAGGUCUUCGGAUCGUAAAACUCUGUUAUUAGGGAAGAACAAAUGUGUAAGUAACUACGCACGUCUUGACGGUACCUAAUCAGAAAGCCACGGCUAACUACGUG